UGGAGAUAUCCACACGUCACCGUACUGAAUGCUUCCCAUUGAUCUACACUCGCCUGACACUGUGACUGACAGAGCCAAUCAGCCUAUCACGGCCCUGGAGACGGACACACACUCAUUUACAGAAACGCCUGCUCCCUUUGACAUCUAAGGCCAACAAUAAAGACAAGAGCCACCCAGCUUUUCGUGGCUUCACUCCAAAAGGCCGGUCGGCUGGUGACGUCCCAUUAACUCUCACCCAACAGGAGAUUACAACUCAUAAAAAACAAUGACUUAGUUCAGCUGGUAUUACAACCCAACCUCCUCACCAAACCGGCCGAUUGAGGAGGACAGAAGAAAAUCCGGAGGCUGAAACUAUUUCUCUAAUGCAAAGACGGGAUUCCCCACUUUCCUGAAUGUUAUAAUUGAAUGCAAAUAAAGAUAUAUUCUGCGUU
Long non-coding RNA from Gasterosteus aculeatus aculeatus (three-spined stickleback), 431 nucleotides. The record is from Ensembl. Lineage: Eukaryota; Metazoa; Chordata; Actinopteri; Perciformes; Gasterosteidae.